Molecule: ribosomal RNA, 1446 nt
Filed under: uncultured organism
Description: SSU rRNA
Rfam family: Bacterial small subunit ribosomal RNA
Source: RNAcentral
CUACAGGCUUAACACAUGCAAGUCGAGGGGCAUCAGGAAGAAAGCUUGCUUUCUUUGCUGGCGACCGGCGCACGGGUGAGUAACACGUAUCCAACCUGCCCUUUACUCGGGGAUAGCCUUUCGAAAGAAAGAUUAAUACCCGAUGGCAUAAUGAUUCCGCAUGGUUUCAUUAUUAAAGGAUUCCGGUAAAGGAUGGGGAUGCGUUCCAUUAGGUUGUUGGUGAGGUAACGGCUCACCAAGCCUUCGAUGGAUAGGGGUUCUGAGAGGAAGGUCCCCCACAUUGGAACUGAGACACGGUCCAAACUCCUACGGGAGGCAGCAGUGAGGAAUAUUGGUCAAUGGGCGCUAGCCUGAACCAGCCAAGUAGCGUGAAGGAUGAAGGCUCUAUGGGUCGUAAACUUCUUUUAUAUAAGAAUAAAGUGCAGUAUGUAUACUGUUUUGUAUGUAUUAUAUGAAUAAGGAUCGGCUAACUCCGUGCCAGCAGCCGCGGUAAUACGGAGGAUCCGCGCGUUAUCCGGAUUUAUUGGGUUUAAAGGGAGCGUAGGUGGACUGGUAAGUCAGUUGUGAAAGUUUGCGGCUCAACCGUAAAAUUGCAGUUGAUACUGUCAGUCUUGAGUACAGUAGAGGUGGGCGGAAUUCGUGGUGUAGCGGUGAAAUGCUUAGAUAUCACGAAGAACUCCGAUUGCGAAGGCAGCUCACUGGACUGCAACUGACACUGAUGCUCGAAAGUGUGGGUAUCAAACAGGAUUAGAUACCCUGGUAGUCCACACAGUAAACGAUGAAUACUCGCUGUUUGCGAUAUACAGUAAGCGGCCAAGCGAAAGCAUUAAGUAUUCCACCUGGGGAGUACGCCGGCAACGGUGAAACUCAAAGGAAUUGACGGGGGCCCGCACAAGCGGAGGAACAUGUGGUUUAAUUCGAUGAUACGCGAGGAACCUUACCCGGGCUUAAAUUGCAGUGGAAUGAUGUGGAAACAUGUCAGUGAGCAAUCACCGCUGUGAAGGUGCUGCAUGGUUGUCGUCAGCUCGUGCCGUGAGGUGUCGGCUUAAGUGCCAUAACGAGCGCAACCCUUAUCUUUAGUUACUAACAGGUUAUGCUGAGGACUCUAGAGAGACUGCCGUCGUAAGAUGUGAGGAAGGUGGGGAUGACGUCAAAUCAGCACGGCCCUUACGUCCGGGGCUACACACGUGUUACAAUGGGGGGUACAGAAGGCAGCUAGCGGGUGACCGUAUGCUAAUCCCAAAAGCCUCUCUCAGUUCGGAUCGAAGUCUGCAACCCGACUUCGUGAAGCUGGAUUCGCUAGUAAUCGCGCAUCAGCCACGGCGCGGUGAAUACGUUCCCGGGCCUUGUACACACCGCCCGUCAAGCCAUGGGAGCCGGGGGUACCUGAAGUACGUAACCGCAAGGAUCGUCCUAGGGUAAAACUGGUGACUGGGGCUAAAUCAU